RNAcentral lists this non-coding RNA (122 nucleotides) under Desulfoscipio gibsoniae. RNAcentral's name for it is "Desulfotomaculum gibsoniae MoCo sequence". It matches the Rfam family "Molybdenum/Tungsten riboswitch aptamer (Moco RNA motif)". RNAcentral also lists the same sequence under 1 other name. The record is from RNAcentral. Lineage: Bacteria; Bacillati; Bacillota; Clostridia; Eubacteriales; Desulfallaceae.
AACCUAAUAGCUCUUCGAGUCGGGCAAACCUGCAAACAUAAUGUUAUGGUAACCCGACCGUUAGGGUUCGCCGGGAAACCGGCCUGCCUCCCAUUGCGGAAAGAAGAGAAACGUGUCGGGUU